RNAcentral lists this ribosomal RNA (471 nucleotides) under Jaera albifrons. RNAcentral describes it as "partial small subunit ribosomal RNA". It matches the Rfam family "Eukaryotic small subunit ribosomal RNA", at positions 564 to 916 of the family's 1831-position model. The record is from RNAcentral. Lineage: Eukaryota; Metazoa; Arthropoda; Malacostraca; Isopoda; Janiridae.
GUGCCAGCAGCCGCGGUAAUACCAGCUCCAAUAGCGUAUAUAAAAGUUGUUGCAGUUAAAAAGCUCCUAAUUGGAAUUUAUAAAAAGCUGAUACAUAAUCAAAUUAGACGAUGUAUCAUAUGUGAAAUAUAUUAAUGCGAUUGAGUAAUUAGUAUGUCUUAGUGCAAACUUUGAUUGAAAAUUACUCUUAUUCGUAUGAUAUAAAGUAAUGUAUGGGUGAAGUCUUAAAAGAUUUAAUCGGUGUACAUAAUUUAAACGGAUAUCAACUCCAGAAGUUGAUAGUUUCGUUCAUUUUUCACUUUGAAAAAAUUAGAGUGUUCAAAGCCGAGCUAAAAUUGCUCGAAUGUUAUAUCAUUGUAUGAAAUAACAUGAUCUCGUUUAGACUUUUUUGUCUUCUUUUAUUGAUCUAAAAUGAGAUAAUGAUUAAAAGGAACAGCCGGUGGCAUUGGUAUUACGGCGCUAGAGGUGAAA